RNAcentral lists this ribosomal RNA (292 nucleotides) under uncultured bacterium. RNAcentral's name for it is "partial 16S ribosomal RNA". It matches the Rfam family "Bacterial small subunit ribosomal RNA", at positions 505 to 796 of the family's 1533-position model. The record is from RNAcentral.
GUGCCAGCAGCCGCGGUAAUACAGAGACCCCGAGCGUUAUCCGGAAUUACUGGGCGUAAAGCGCAAACAGCCGGCUGUAUUAGUCUGUCGUUAAAUCUCACGGCCUAACUGUGAGACCGCGAUGGAAACGGUAUAGCUUGAGCGGGUAAGAGGCACGCGGAACGUGUGGUGUAGGGGUGAAAUCCAUUGAUAUCACACGGAACACCAAAAGCGAAGGCAGCGUGCUAGUGCUCUGCUGACGGUCAAUUGCGAAAGCGUGGGGAUCGAAAAGGAUUAGAAACCCCCGUAGUCC